This 484-nucleotide ribosomal RNA is filed under the name uncultured bacterium. Its description in RNAcentral is "partial 16S ribosomal RNA". It matches the Rfam family "Bacterial small subunit ribosomal RNA", at positions 30 to 507 of the family's 1533-position model. The record is from RNAcentral.
AUUGAACGCUGGCGGCAGGCCUAACACAUGCAAGUCGAGCGGAAGAAGGGAGCUUGCUGCUGGAUUCAGCGGAGGAGGGGAGAGUAAUGCCUAGGAAUCUGCCUGGUAGUGGGGGAUAACGUCCGGAAACGGGCGCUAAUACCGCAUGCGUCCAGAGGGAGAAAGGGGGGGAACUUCGGACCUCAUGCCCUCAGGUGAGCCGAGGUCGGAUUAGCUAGUUGGUGGGGUAAAGGCCUACCAAGGCGACGAUCCGUAACUGGUCUGAGAGGAUGAGCAGUCACACUGGAACUGAGACACGGUCCAGACUCCUACGGGAGGCAGCAGUGGGGAAUAUUGGACAAUGGGCGAAAGCCUGAUCCAGCCAUGCCGCGUGUGUGAAGAAGGUCUUCGGAUUGUAAAGCACUUUAAGUUGGGAGGAAGGGCAGUAAGUUAAUACCUUGCUGUUUUGACGUUACCAACAGAAUAAGCACCGGCUAACUUCGUG